GUGCUUUUUCUGGAAGCAUAUGUAUUGGAAUGGAAAUGAUACAGAUAUCAGCAUGGUCUCUGUACAAGAAUAAAAAGUGGAUUCAUAAAGUGUCCCUUAUUCUG
RNAcentral lists this small nuclear RNA (104 nucleotides) under Mesocricetus auratus (golden hamster). The record is from RNAcentral. Lineage: Eukaryota; Metazoa; Chordata; Mammalia; Rodentia; Cricetidae.